GAUAAACGCUGGCGGCGUGCCUAACACAUGCAAGUCGAACGAUCCCGCAAGGGAGAGUGGCGGAAGGGUGAGUAACACGUGGGAAUCUACCUCCUCGCAGGGAACAACCUCUCGAAAGAGAGGCUAAUACCCAAAAGGGUCAGUAAUGAUCAGAGUCGAAAGGCGUGAGGAGAGGAGCCCGCGGCCCAUCAGCUAGUUGGUGAGGUAAUGGCUUACCAAGGCUACGACGGGUAGGGGAUCUGAGAGGAUGUCCCCCACACUGGAACUGAAACACGGUCCAGACGCCUACGGGUGGCAGCAGUGAGGAAUAUUGGACAAUGGGCGAAAGCCCGAUCCAGCAACGCCGCGUGGAGGAUGAAGGCCUUGGGUCGUAAACUUCUUUAGAGGGAGACGAGAAAGGACGGUAUCCCUAGAAUAAGCGACGGCAAACUACGUGCCAGCAGCCGCGGUAA
RNAcentral lists this ribosomal RNA (452 nucleotides) under uncultured bacterium. RNAcentral describes it as "bacterial SSU rRNA". It matches the Rfam family "Bacterial small subunit ribosomal RNA", at positions 28 to 523 of the family's 1533-position model. The record is from RNAcentral.